AGAGAUUGAACAUAAGAGUUUGAUCCUGGCUCAGAUUGAACGCUGGCGGCAUGCUUUACACAUGCAAGUCGGACGGCAGCACAAAGAAGCUUGCUUCUUGGGUGGCGAGUGGCGAACGGGUGAGUAACGCAUCGGAACGUACCGAGUAGUGGGGGAUAACUGUCCGAAAGGAUGGCUAAUACCGCAUACGCUUUGAGAAGGAAAGCGGGGGAUCUUCGGACCUCGCGCUAUUCGAGCGGCCGAUGUCUGAUUAGCUGGUUGGUGGGGUAAAGGCCUACCAAGGCGACGAUCAGUAGCGGGUCUGAGAGGAUGAUCCGCCACACUGGGACUGAGACACGGCCCAGACUCCUACGGGAGGCAGCAGUGGGGAAUUUUGGACAAUGGGCGCAAGCCUGAUCCAGCCAUGCCGCGUGUCUGAAGAAGGCCUUCGGGUUGUAAAGGACUUUUGUCAGGGAAGAAAAGCUUGAGGCUAAUACCCUUGAGUGAUGACGGUACCUGAAGAAUAAGCACCGGCUAACUACGUGCCAGCAGCCGCGGUAAUACGUAGGGUGCGAGCGUUAAUCGGAAUUACUGGGCGUAAAGCGGGCGCAGACGGUUACUUAAGUCAGAUGUGAAAUCCCCGGGCUCAACCUGGGAACUGCGUUUGAAACUGGGUGGCUAGAGUAUGUCAGAGGGGGGUAGAAUUCCACGUGUAGCAGUGAAAUGCGUAGAGAUGUGGAGGAAUACCGAUGGCGAAGGCAGCCCCCUGGGAUAAUACUGACGUUCAUGCCCGAAAGCGUGGGUAGCAAACAGGAUUAGAUACCCUGGUAGUCCACGCCCUAAACGAUGUCAAUUAGCUGUUGGGGCACUUGAUGCCUUAGUAGCGUAGCUAACGCGUGAAAUUGACCGCCUGGGGAGUACGGUCGCAAGAUUAAAACUCAAAGGAAUUGACGGGGACCCGCACAAGCGGUGGAUGAUGUGGAUUAAUUCGAUGCAACGCGAAGAACCUUACCUGGUCUUGACAUGUACGGAAUCCUCCAGAGACGGAGGAGUGCCUUCGGGAGCCGUAACACAGGUGCUGCAUGGCUGUCGUCAGCUCGUGUCGUGAGAUGUUGGGUUAAGUCCCGCAACGAGCGCAACCCUUGUCAUUAGUUGCCAUCAUUAAGUUGGGCACUCUAAUGAGACUGCCGGUGACAAGCCGGAGGAAGGUGGGGAUGACGUCAAGUCCUCAUGGCCCUUAUGACCAGGGCUUCACACGUCAUACAAUGGUCGGUACAGAGGGUAGCCAAGCCGCGAGGUGGAGCCAAUCCCACAAAACCGAUCGUAGUCCGGAUUGCACUCUGCAACUCGAGUGCAUGAAGUCGGAAUCGCUAGUAAUCGCAGGUCAGCAUACUGCGGUGAAUACGUUCCCGGGUCUUGUACACACCGCCCGUCACACCAUGGGAGUGGGGGAUACCAGAAGUAGGUAGGGUAACCGCAAGGAGCCCGCUUACCACGGUAUGCUUCAUGACUGGGGUGAAGUCGUAACAAGGUAGCCGUAGGGGAACCUGCGGCUGGAUCACCUCCUUUCUA
RNAcentral lists this ribosomal RNA (1551 nucleotides) under Neisseria sp. 74A18. RNAcentral describes it as "bacterial SSU rRNA". It matches the Rfam family "Bacterial small subunit ribosomal RNA". Lineage: Bacteria; Pseudomonadati; Pseudomonadota; Betaproteobacteria; Neisseriales; Neisseriaceae. The record is from RNAcentral.